GCCGGUGUGGUGAAAUUGGUAGACACGACGGAUUCAAAAUCCGUUUCCUUCGGGAGUGGCGGUUCAAGUCCGCCCACCGGUACCA
Molecule: transfer RNA, 85 nt
Filed under: Vibrio fluvialis
Lineage: Bacteria; Pseudomonadati; Pseudomonadota; Gammaproteobacteria; Vibrionales; Vibrionaceae
Also listed under: 39 other names
Description: tRNA-Leu
Rfam family: tRNA
About the family: Transfer RNA (tRNA) molecules are approximately 80 nucleotides in length. Their secondary structure includes four short double-helical elements and three loops (D, anti-codon, and T loops).
Source: RNAcentral